RNAcentral lists this ribosomal RNA (253 nucleotides) under uncultured bacterium. RNAcentral's name for it is "partial 16S ribosomal RNA". It matches the Rfam family "Bacterial small subunit ribosomal RNA", at positions 524 to 776 of the family's 1533-position model. The record is from RNAcentral.
UACGUAGGAGGCAAGCGUUGUCCGGAAUUACUGGGCGUAAUGCGCGUGUAGGUGGUGGGACAAGUCUGCUGUGAAAGCGCCUGGCUUAACCGGGCGAGGUCGGCGGAAACUGUCCGACUCGAGGACGGUAGAGGGGGGUGGAAUUCCCGGUGUAGUGGUGAAAUGCGUAGAGAUCGGGAGGAACACCUGUGGCGAAGGCGGCCCCCUGGGCCGGCCCUGACACUGAGACGCGAAGGCGUGGGGAGCGAACGGG